CUUCACCGACCCGAGCCACACGUGGCCGCUCGCGGCCCUGUCCGUACGUGGCCAGCAGGGCCUGCGCCUC
This 70-nucleotide antisense RNA is filed under the name Streptomyces afghaniensis 772. Its description in RNAcentral is "ASpks TB sRNA". It matches the Rfam family "ASpks TB sRNA". Lineage: Bacteria; Bacillati; Actinomycetota; Actinomycetes; Kitasatosporales; Streptomycetaceae. The record is from Rfam by way of RNAcentral.